This is a long non-coding RNA of Branchiostoma belcheri (Belcher's lancelet), 910 nucleotides long. RefSeq lists it as uncharacterized. The transcript is spliced from 4 exons. The record is from RefSeq and is a predicted model, not a curated record. Lineage: Eukaryota; Metazoa; Chordata; Leptocardii; Amphioxiformes; Branchiostomatidae.
AUAAGCUGAAGUGAGUAAACAAGUUUGACUCCAUUUCAUACCGAACUGACUCCGUGGCGGAUCAGCACUGAAAUAUCUCUAAGAUCGCUGUCAGAUUUGCGUCUCACAGGAUUCCCCGCUGAGCACGAUGAAGACGGCUCUGGUGUUGCUCCUUGUUCUCCUGGUCAUCUCUUCCGAGAUGAUGCCUGCCGAGAGCUGUGGUGGUGGCAGUAGUAGUGGUGGUAAUUCAGCCCGCAGCGUCGGUGAAGAGACGUCCGUGUCCAAACGGGACGUGGCCGGGGACAACGAGCCGCUGCCGGGAGAAAAAUGAUGGCUGGGCAGGCCAGUCGGGAUGACUAUCACGUGCUCUCCACGUGCGACCAACGUGAUCACCAACAGCCGUCUAGAAUAGUUCUUUGCUAACAUUAACGCUGCUAGCUGUAGCUCUUUAGAUCUGAAACGCCAUGCAAAACUCUAAUAAGUCAGUGUUAGCUUGAUGUGCAUAGUUUUUCACCCAUUAUCAGGAACAAAGGGAAAACGUUACGUUGAUGGAGGUUAGACAUCCAGGUAAACAAUACUCAUAGAAAAAUGCAAGCUCUGGAUAAAGUACGGAGAUAAUUUCCGGACGUUUCCAGUGACAUCCACAACUCUUCUCCAGCGUCACUAAUAAACUAACAGAACUCGUCAACACCUGAAUGUUAGUUUUUUUCCGUAAUUUAUCCAGUAGUAGAUUUUGAAUUUCCUAUAGACAACACUUUGUCUGUACAACCCUGGAAAAUAAAGAAUGAUUCGAAUGUACGCUUGAAUGUAUUCUAAACAUCCGCUACAAUCUUUCUACAAGACAUUUUAGAAGCUGCUAGAUUCGUAUCUAUGCGUAAACUUUCGGAUAAAUAUGUCAUCCCGUGAUAGAAGACGGCUAAUAAAGACUUUA